ACGGGAGGCAGCAGUGAGGAAUAUUGGUCAAUGGACGAGAGUCUGAACCAGCCAAGUAGCGUGCAGGAUGACGGCCCUAUGGGUUGUAAACUGCUUUUAUAGGGGGAUAAAGUGUGCCACGUGUGGCAUAUUGCAGGUACCCUAUGAAUAAGGACCGGCUAAUUCCGUGCCAGCAGCCGCGGUAAUACGGAAGGUCCAGGCGUUAUCCGGAUUUAUUGGGUUUAAAGGGAGCGUAGGCCGUUUGGUAAGCGUGUUGUGAAAUGUCGGGGCUCAACCUGGGCAUUGCAGCGCGAACUGCCAGACUUGAGUGCGCAGGAAGUAGGCGGAAUUCGUCGUGUAGCGGUGAAAUGCUUAGAUAUGACGAAGAACUCCGAUUGCGAAGGCAGCCUGCUGUAGCGCAACUGACGCUGAAGCUCGAAAGCGUGGGUAUCGAACAGGAUUAGAUACCCUGGUAGUCCACGCGGUAAACGAUGGAUGCUCGCUGUUUGCGUCUGACGUAAGCGGCCAAGCGAAA
RNAcentral lists this ribosomal RNA (514 nucleotides) under uncultured bacterium. Its description in RNAcentral is "bacterial SSU rRNA". It matches the Rfam family "Bacterial small subunit ribosomal RNA", at positions 341 to 856 of the family's 1533-position model. The record is from RNAcentral.